CUUUAACAGAACCCUUCGGGGCGAAGAUAAAGUGGAUUAGCGGCGGACGGGUGAGUAACACGUGAGUAACCUGCCUUAGACAUUGGGAUAGCCUCGGGAAACCGGGAUUAAUACCAAAUAAAAUCAUAAUGACACAUGUCAUAACGAUCAAAACUCCGGUGGUCUAAGAUGGACUCGCGUCCCAUUAGCUAGUUGGUAGAGUAAAAGCCUACCAAGGCGACGAUGGGUAGCCGGCCUGAGAGGGUGAACGGCCACAUUGGAACUGAGAAACGGUCCAAACUCCUACGGGAGGCAGCAGUGGGGAAUAUUGCACAAUGGAGGGAACUCUGAUGCAGCGACGCCGCGUGAACGAAGAAGGCUUUCGAGUCGUAAAGUUCUUUUAUAUGGGAAGAUAAUGACGGUACCAUAAGAAAAAGCCCCGGCUAACUACGUGCCAGCAGCCGCGGUAAUACGUAGGGGGCUAGCGUUGUCCGGAAUCACUGGGCGUAAAGGGUUCGCAGGCGGAAAUGCAGGUCAGAUGUAAAAGGCAGUAGCUUAACUACUGUAAGCAUUUGAAACUGCAUAUCUUGAGAAGAGUAGAGGUAAGUGGAAUUUUUAGUGUAGCGGUGAAAUGCGUAGAUAUUAAAAAGAAUACCGGUGGCGAAGGCGACUUACUGGGCUCAUUCUGACGCUGAGGAACGAAAGCGUGGGUAGCAAACAGG
Molecule: ribosomal RNA, 701 nt
Filed under: uncultured Eubacteriales bacterium
Lineage: Bacteria; Bacillati; Bacillota; Clostridia; Eubacteriales
Description: bacterial SSU rRNA
Rfam family: Bacterial small subunit ribosomal RNA
Source: RNAcentral